AGUCCAAAAUGUCCCUUUGUGGUCACAGUCCUCUCCACAGUCUGCUCAGUGCCACCUCCUCUGGCACCCCAGGUGCUGAGGAUCAUCCCCUUUGCCGUACACGCGUCCAUGUUACCUGUGGGGACUGUGUGGUGUGGGAAGGAAACUCCCUCCGCCUGCACCUCCUGUGUGCCCCAGGCCUUCAUGGAAUCCCAGGUCUCUCCAGAGAGUUGCUUUUUUGGGUGGUCUCUCCUGGAAUUCCUGCUGGGUUUUUAUAGUCAUUCCUCUCCCCAUUCCCCACAGACCUCCUCCCCCUCUUCCUUUCUGUUUUGCCACCAUACCAGAUGUUACUUUUACCACAGGGCCUUUUCCCUGUUUACAGAGAAAACCAAAGCCAUCAGGAGGAACUCCACCAACAUGGAAUCCAACGUAUUGAUUGUUACGUCUUGCGGAAAUAUGGGAGACAGCAAGUGUUCUUCCCCUUGGCAGCAAGAGUUGAAUCCAUUAACAGUACUCAGCUCCAAUCUGUAAACCUGUGCUCCUAAAGUCUGCCUGAUGGUGCCUCUACAGACUUACCAACACCAGUGGUCCAGCAUCUGCUCCUCAGAGGUUUGGGUCCUAGUUCUGGAAGUCUUUUCAAAGAAUCUUCUCUUUGUUCUCUCAACCCUAGAGGUGGUAGCUGCUUCCCACUGUUACUAUCUUUGUGAUACUUCAGGCCCCCUUUUGCCUUUUUUGUCCUUUAUAACUGAUUAACAACCAUUUACAUAAAAUUCUUUAUGGUGAAUUUCAGCAGACCGACACACCCUUAGACCUACCUGUGCCAUGUAUAUUGGAC
This 814-nucleotide long non-coding RNA is filed under the name Equus caballus (horse). RNAcentral describes it as "lncRNA (ENSECAG00000049663.1)". Lineage: Eukaryota; Metazoa; Chordata; Mammalia; Perissodactyla; Equidae. The record is from RNAcentral.